Molecule: transfer RNA, 58 nt
Filed under: Cricetulus griseus (Chinese hamster)
Lineage: Eukaryota; Metazoa; Chordata; Mammalia; Rodentia; Cricetidae
Also listed under: 1 other name
Rfam family: tRNA
About the family: Transfer RNA (tRNA) molecules are approximately 80 nucleotides in length. Their secondary structure includes four short double-helical elements and three loops (D, anti-codon, and T loops).
Source: Rfam by way of RNAcentral
UGGCUCAGUGGUUAAGAGCACUGACUGCACUUCCAGAGGACCUGGGUUCAAUUCCCAG